RNAcentral lists this long non-coding RNA (1453 nucleotides) under Dicentrarchus labrax (European seabass). RNAcentral's name for it is "lncRNA (ENSDLAG00005030473.1)". Lineage: Eukaryota; Metazoa; Chordata; Actinopteri; Moronidae. The record is from RNAcentral.
UGUCGGCUUCUCCCGGUUAGGAUUCCUUCAGUGUUCAUGGUUCAGGAGCUUCUCCCAGUUAGGAUUCCUUCAGUGUUCAUGGUUCAGGAGGUUUCUACCGGGAGCCCAGUUUUCCACAGAGGUCUCCUCCUCUCCAAAACAAACGGAACAGCUAAAAACACUGAAUAAAGCAGUUCCACCUUAAAAAUCACUGCUUCUCCCACACUGCUGGAGGGGCUGCGAGCCGAGCUGCUGCUAACUUUAGCUCAGCUUGUUUCUUUGAUAACUUAAGAUCCAGACGUCCAAUGACUAAAAUCCUUCAUCCAGUUCUAAUCUAGAGUUAAAAAGCACCAAGAUCUAAACAGUGGAUGGUAACAAUGUGGCUUCAGACUGGAUAAACAGUCAAUGUAUGACAGCUUCUGGCAGACAACCACAACGCUGACGCAGGCACAAAGGGGAUAUGACGCCAUUGACAGGCGACCGGUGAAACGCAGCGUUACCUGAAUAAAAUGACAGAUUUCUCUGAGUUUGAACAUAAAUAACAACAAACAAGGCUGACAUGUUACAGACUGUAGCUUUAACAUUGUUUUAUUUUACAAAUUUUAUGAGAACAGACUAUAAACAUGAUUUUGAGCUGAUGAUACGAGUCCGGAGCCUGUAAAACCUGGUUAAAUACAAUGGUGUUUGGUCUGCUUUCUCUUUGAUUGUAGCUGUCAAUACUUUUUACUUAGCUCUACCCUGAAAAUCCUAAAUAACACAGUGGAUUUGGAUUUUUAUCACUUGACUGUUAUUGGAGUGCUUGUUCACAAGCAUUAUUGACUGCAAUCAUAAGUGGGGUGAUACACUGCGUAUUUCUUUAUGAAUUAAUGACUUUUGUCAGAUAAAAAGAAAUAUUUGUUCAUGCAUACCUAUUUAUUUAUAUAUGGCAUUACAUAUGUUUGCUUAUUUGGAAAUGUGCUCCAUGGUCAUGUCUGUAUUUCUUUACCUUCAUCAAAGGUGAAAGCUUAGUUUGGGUUUAAAUAAUAUCAGAAGAAAAACAAUACACAUCAUUUAAAGGGAAAAACAUUAUUACAAUAAAUUAAAGAACAGAAUAAACCUAGCAGUGUCACAAUAAUAUCAUAAAGCGUCCAAGGCCAUUGUACUGUACACAGUUGCUGUUCUAAUUUCAAUUGAAAAAUCUAAUUUUGUUGUUCAAUCUUGUGUUGUAUAAUGAUAAAGAAAAUAUCUUGAUCUUCGAUUGACUGAAAUAAUUAAACAGCCACAAUAAGAUUAAGAAUUUUGUUAAUUAUCACAAUAUUAGUAUUGUAGGCAACACUGGCCCCUCUAACUUGUAAUCUCAGAGUAUAGCUUGAAAAAUAAAUUUCUUAUAAAUAUUUCACGAUUUGAACUUAAUCUUUACCCUUCACACAAUAAAUGUCCACAGCGGAUCUCAAUAUCUCUUUUUCUUUUGAUGACGUCUAAGCAGAAUCGUGUC